UAUUGUAUCGUCUCUCUAAUCAUCAAUCUUCACCAGGAACAGCAGGCAGAAUGUUGAAAGUUUUAGCGUUGAUUUCUCUUGUCUCACUCUGUGCCGGGCAGGUAUGGUUGGCAGGUUUUAAUGCCUUGGAUACAAACACGGAUCAAUCUAUCAGCCAGGCUGAAUUUGAUGUUGCCAUAGUAGGAGUUGAUACUAAUGGUGAUGGGAAGGUACCAGAAGCAGAAUGGAUGGCCGCAUGGAAAGGUAUUACUGCAGGUAAUCACAACCAAGCUGUAACAGAUAAAGCUGGUAAAAACAUCUUUGAUUAUAAUGAUAAAAAUAAAGAUGGUGUGUUGAGUAUAGCUGAGUUAAAGGGAAUGUACUCUGUUAUCGAUACCAACGGUGACGGUAAAUCAACUUCAAUUGAAUUUGCUCACGCUUGGCAAGACACUCACAGACCAAUAACUGGAUAAUACGUCAUCAGUUUCCUGUUGGUAUUAAAACUUUUAUGAAGUGAUAAAAUAAAUAUUCACCAAUCU
This is a long non-coding RNA of Patella vulgata (common limpet), 518 nucleotides long. RefSeq lists it as uncharacterized. Lineage: Eukaryota; Metazoa; Mollusca; Gastropoda; Patellidae. The record is from RefSeq and is a predicted model, not a curated record. The transcript has 6 exons.